CAGGCGAGAAGUGCAAGUGGAUGGGCUCAGCUGAAGCGGGGGCAGCCCUUCCUCCCUUCAAACCUCAUCCUCACUCAGCCUGGGAGAAGAGGGGAGGAAUGAGGGGUCCAUUCCUCCAUGACAGCCUUCCGGUGGAGGAAUGAGGGGUCACUACUCCCAGAAGUGGAAAAUCUCAGUAAAAAUGUCUGUCACACAAUGCAAGAGUGUGAAAUCUUUCCCUGCAGAGCAGUAGGAGUUUGCCUGGAAGACAUAAAGUCACCAGGCCAUGCUUCAGCCCCGCUGAAAUCUCCAUGCUGCACAUUUGUUUUGCAGCACAUGCCCUUCUACCGCCCUGCCUGGGCUGUGCUGAGCUCACACAAAGCCAAGAGCUGCACAGCUGGGAGCCAAGCAUCCCCGAAUUCGUGCUGCAAUCUCAGCAUCUCCCAGAAGUAUUGCUGGAGUCGCCAGGACCAGCACCCAGUGCACCGGUGCCAUUCCUCCCUCUCCCUGGGCUGCAGCCAGAGGGGCUGGCUGUCCCUUCAGCACAGCUCAGACCCAGCCCAGGCUGCCACACCAGUGACCAGAGCUGGGCAGACAGCGGGACCUGGCCAAGGUGACCAGAAAAACCCUGCACUCCUCACACCUGAGCAGCCCAGCGCCCACCAAGACCCUCCGAUACCUGUUGACCUUCUGUCUCAGCAAAGAAAGCGAUCAACCUCUCUGGAACAGCUUUUCUGUCAAAAAAAGAGAGCUGGGAAAUACUCUGAGCCACGAGGUCCAUUUUACAAUUCACAUACUAUCACUGCAUUUAAAUACAUCUGUCUUAGAAAGCCCAGAUUUGAUACUGAAAUUUGAGAAAGUCAGCUACGGCAUGGGGCACAGACUGGUGUGUGCUGGGGUCUGUCCUCGGCUGGACAGAACAAAAUUAAGUGAGCUGGGACUGCCAUUUGCCUGGCUGAUGCUUGAGUCUCUAGGCUCCUCUUAAACAAAAUGAUUUAAAUUUGCUAAAUCAGAGCUUCAGAUCAGCAUGUGAUGUUUGCAUCAUAUAUGUCACCAUUUUUACACUAGAGUCUUACAUGUGAUUAAAGAGAGUAUGAUUAUAUAUAACCUUCAACGGGGUAAAAAAAUGCUAAAAUUCCUUAUUUUUAAAAAAGUAUAUGUAGAGCAAAAUAGACAAACUUCAGAACAAAUCAAACAUUUAUCCUUUGCCACUUCAGCAAAUCCUGCUGCUUUAUUGAUGAGCCAGAGCCAUGACAGGGAGCAAACACGGACAUGCACUCACCUAACUCGUUGGAGUCAGAAUUCCUUUUGCAGUUUUAAAUUGCAGAUGGUGUUUCAGGAUGUCAGAGUGAGCAGCAGGAGACCUGCACUGAAAUCUCUGUCAGCUUUGUGACCAGUAGAUCUCCCCAGCAGCUGCUACUGGGAUGUCUAAUUGCUCAAAUUUAUAGAAAGGGUCUUGUCAAUCAAGGCAGAUCCUUACUUGAACCACCCAAGGCAUCAAAGCCAUUGACUGUAAAGCAAGGCUCCCCUUUCCAGCAGUGAUUAGCUUCAAGGGAAUUAUUGUUAUUGCAGUUUAUUGUUUCAUAACCUGAUCAAAAAAGGAGUAUCUCGGUGAGUGAAAUUAUGAGCAUGCACUGGGGCAAAAUGGAUCUUCUUUUCCAUAAUGGAAUAUCAACACCUUUGUGAAGAAAUUGGAAGCUGGCUCUGAAAUUAUCAUUACCCCUAUAAUUAACAAGCCCUAAGUAAACAUCCUCAAGGGAAACUUCUCAGAUACUUGUACAAAAAAUUGCCUGGAUUUUGUCAGCUGCAGAAGAUCUUUUUUACGUGAUUUCUCUGUACAAGAAAGGACAAGAGAUGGGGGGAGGAGGUGAGAGCUUGUAAGGAAAGAAAGUGUUCUCUUGGCAAGCCAGGCAGCUGAAACACAGGUGAGCUCCACUGUGAAAGGAAAUUUAGAAAUCACUGUCCACUCUCUUCACUGUGCAAACCCAGUUCUCAGCUGUCCACAGGACAGGGAGCAGAUGAGGAACUUGGUUCUGUGAAAAACUUGCUGGUCAGGGAGUUCAUAAAAGAUGAAUGGGAGAAAGAAGUGCAGCCAUAAGCUCAGUGGCCUGGAGAAAGCCAGCUGCCUUCCUUUCCACCAGUGACCUCCCAGCUCCAGGACCCAGAACAAUCCAGAACAGACAGGGCAAGUGUCAGGGAUUAUGGAGCUCUCAGGAUGAUGCUGUCAGAGGUCAGAGGCAGCCACAGAAUUACAACCCAGCCAUGAGAACAGAAAACACAGGGGAAACCUUGAUUCAAAUAAAGGCCAUGCUACAAUGGACAAAAUAAAAUAAAAUAGACAAAAACAAAAUAAGUAGAAAUCAAAAAAAAAAAAAAAAAGAAUAGAGGGGAAAAAAAACCACAACAACCAAGGAAAACAGCAUCUGUUGAUGUUCAGAACAUGCAUCUUAUCAAAUAUGAAGCAGUGAUUACUAUGAGCUGGUUAAUUUACCUCACAAAUAUUCCAUACAUACUUCUGAUGGAUUACAUUCAGAUUUUCUGUAGUGUGAGCUAUGGAAAAGAGCAAAUUGACAUUGAGGAAAAGAGAUGUUAUUUACUCUCAAGGUCUACCUUUUCUGUCUAAAUUAGGAAACAGUGUUUGGAACAAGUGAAAGAGGGAAGGGACUGUUUGGAAAGCAGAAAAGCAGCAGGCAUUUAGUGUUGUUGCCAUAUUACCAUCUGACAUGGGAAGGAGCUGCUUCAAAUAGUUAAUUCACUUAACAGACACUAAAAGAAUAAUAAAAAUAAAAGAAAGAACAGAAUUUUUAAUAAAAAAUUUGAAAAGUUAGGAGGCAGGGGUUGUUUAAAAUCUACCCCAGUAUUCUUCCUCAUUAUUGUUCCCAGUCUCACUGGCAGUAAAUGACUCCAGAGUCAAGUGAAGGGGGAUCAGGUGAGAUUUUGGAGGUGGAAUGUUGAAUGGAGGUGUUGUAAAUGUCUCCAUCAGAUCACCAGACAAUGUCCUAGACACCUUUUUCCCCCAUUGAAACCAGUGAGAAAAUCAGGAAAUUCAAAGACAAAUGAGAUCACAAGAAGUCAAGAGGAUCAGCCCAAGUCCUGUCACUGAUCUAAAAUGAUCACUUUCCACUAAAAUAACCCUAAAACUACUUUUCUGUAAUUUCCACUGAACAAAAAUAAAGCUAGAAAAUGAACUUUUAAAGCUUUUUCAAAAAUAUACAGUUUAAAAGUUCCUGACUUAUGGGGAAAGCAUGUAAAAAUACUGAGCUUAAGUCCCCUUUAUUUGAUGCUGGAAAUGUACCAGCAAACAUCAGCCCAAGAUUAGAGGCAGGUACAGGAAAUACGUGCCAGAUGGCAGAUGAACCAGCUUUGACAGAUCCCUCUUCUUCUAUGGAUUAAAAACCCAGGUGCUGGAGUUUUUGUGUAAUUCAGCUUGGUUUCAGUGACUCCAGCUAAGAUCCUGUUCUCUCAUCUCCAUUUGUACUGAACGGCCUCUUAGGGUGAAACAAAAGAGAAAUUGCAGACUCUCACUUAUUCUGUCUCUAGAAAAUCCUGUCUGCUUGUGGGACAGGCACCAAUUCCUGAAGGAUUUGCAUUGUGUUGUGUGAAAAGCCUGAGUGCUGACUUUUCCCACGCAGAGUUUUUGCUGUCUUACUGUUCUGUGAGUUUAUCUCAUUUAAGUUAAUCAAUAAAUACACCAGUGGGAUCUCAAAUCGGGUUGAUCAUGAGAAAGGAGCUGAGAUGAGCUAUUUAAUGAGAGUGACCAAGGGAAAUGCCAAUGCUGAGUGGCUGCACACAGUAAGCACUGCACAGAGCCUUGUAGGCCAGAAGAAGCUGGUGACCAUUCGGGUCAGAAAAGUCAGUGACUGGACAGGAGAUAUUUAAUGCACUGCCCACAGCAGGGGUUUGGAAAGGUGGGUGUUAGUUCAGAGGUAAGACAGAAGGAGAAAUGGGUGAGGAAUCAAGGUAGUGUGGGAUGGCUGGCCAAGUUCACAGGAGGUGGCACCCAUAAGAGAUUAGGGUUCAGUUUAGAAGAGAGUGAAUCAUAAAUAUAUCAGUUAGGAUACACAGCCAUAAAUGUUGUAUGUAAUUUGAUGAACUCACGGGGAAAAAAAAGCAUUUGAAUCACUUUUCCCUAUACAAGUUAACAUCAGAUUUUAUGUCAAUAGGUUGUUUACUCUUUUCUGGUAGUUUUGAAAAAAAGAUAACCUUUAUGUCCUGAAAACAGCAUUUCAAACAAGUGCAUUAAGAUUGUUUAAUCCAUCCCCACAGCUACCGUGUGUUUGUCUUGGAGAGUGACUUUCUGUCAUUUUCUACAUUUUGAAAGAAUGCAAAGAGUUGGUUUGGAAAGGGACAGACAAAGCAGGUUUAACCUUGAGAGGGCACAGCUGAUCUGUAAAUGAAAAUCAAAGGCAGCAAGUAAAGCUCCUUGAAAGGCUCUGACAGAAACACUGCCAAGUGCAAGCACAGGGAGCAAAAUGCAGCCAUCAGGAAAUGUGUUCCCGAGCAGGAAUGAGAUAAAUGUGGGCUCUCCCUGCUAACAAUGGGACACCAGUCCCCGCUGAAGGUCUCGGGCACACAAAGCCACUUCUGCUUUAAAAGACUUUCUGCUCAUUUUGCUUCCUGGGCUUAACACAACACGAGCUGGCAGCGGCUGAAUGAGCAUUAGGAGAAGAAUGUAGUCAGGAAAGAGGAUUUCUUGAGGCUGCUGUGGCAGUAAAUCACACCACACUCAGUACUCGGGGGAGUGAGCCCUCUUACAGAGGAGAUAAACACUUCUUGCAGCCUGUGGGGGUACCUGUGUUAGGAAUGGCAGAGCAGCCCCGUGAGCACACCUGUAAAAUCCAGCCCUGCAGAUCUGAAAUGCUGGGGGAAAGCUCUGUGCUGACUGCAGCAGAAUCCCAGCUGUUUCAGCACAGACACUGCCUCAGCAGCACGCUGUUAUGAGGAAUCUGUCAGACACUAUUCUUCUCUUCCUUUUCCAUCAGACUUGGAAAAUGAAGUCCAAGGGUGAGGCUUAACAGUAACAAAAAAAGCUAAUCCACAGUUUGCUUGAGGCACAUCUAUCCCGGGGAGAUAACACUCUUCUGCUAAACAAGUCCUGCUGCUAUGAUGGAUUCAAUCCAGAAGAGAACUGAUGAAGAUCCUACAGACACUACAAGAGCUGAAGCUUCUGAAAUUUGGUAGUGCACAUCUCUAACAUACAGAUAACAUUCCUUACAUUUGAUACCUGCAGAUGGGCACCGGAUUGCUCCAAUGCUGAAAAGGCUCAAGAACUUUAGAUGGGAAGAGGUGGGAAAAAAAAGCCAAGCACCUGGAAAACACUUCAUUGCUUCUUUAUUUAGAUGCACCCACAGUACAGAGCCUCUUGAGCAUGUGCAAAAGAGGAAGAUAACACAUUUAUAGCUGGGAGCACCAUUGAGUUUGAGUUUCUUUGAUACCACUUUUAAGAAAGUAAACUGUUUCCAAAGAAUGACAUUUGAAUCCAAGAGUUUAAGACCUGCUUGUACUUUAUCCAGAGGUGGAAGAUAUUUUUAUUAUUACUUGGAUGUAGAGUAGAAGACAUUUUCACAGUCUGGUUGGACCAGUAUUUUCAUAUGCACCUUUUAAUAGAUAUUUAAAAAGUUUCAUUUCCCCCGCCCCUACCCACAGAAAGUUAAAUGCACCCAAGUUUAAAAACAGUAAUGGGACCAGAGCAUUCCUAUGGGGAAAAAUGAACUUUUGCUGCCCUCUCCUGCUUAAACAAUGAAAUGCUAAAAUAUUAAGAUCUAUGAAUCUAAUGCUAACCUUGAAACAAAAAGCGUGACAGGUCAUUCGCUAUACUACAAUCAAAAAUAGGACAACAACAAGAAAUGUAUUGGUACUAUUUAUAUUUGAAAACUCCUCAUGGCUCCAUGAGGUUAUGAAUACAACAUAUUUACAGCACGUGAUCCAGGUAACAAAAACACUUACUCACAGAGGUCGUGAUAAAAAGCACACGCUUCUGUGGAUGGGAAGCAACACUUGGAUAAAAGUUUUCAUCCGAAAGUAGCUCCAUCCUCUUUCAAGAUGCUGUUUCAUAGAGUUCAAAAUGGAAAACUGGGCUACAUAAAAUGCUGCACAUACCAACUAGGAAGAACUAAUUAAUGGCUCACUCCAGAGCUGCUAAGGGAAGCACAGGAGCCAAAUUAAAAAAGCUGUAAGUAAAUAAAAACAUUCUUCAACCUUGAGCAUCAUCGCCUUUGUCUUCUUUUUAAGGGCAAUUGCUUUGGGAUAGUGGUGUCACACAAUUAAGAGAAAAGGGCAUCUUUGUUUUCUAAGACACAACUAAAAGGAAAUUAUGUCAGUUUUACUUGGAGGGAGAAUAAUCUCAUCUUUCCCACUCCUCAGAAAACAAUAAAGAGCUUUUUAGAGCUCCUAAUGUAUUUUCUUUUCCAUCAAGUGAGAGAGCCUGAGGCUGUAGUUAAGCACCUAUAAUGCAAGUACAGCUGCUGCAUUUCUUACUCAAGCAAUUUUUGGCUCCAACACCCUCGAUUUUUCCAUAUAUGAGAACAGAUAAAAAAAUAAAUUAAACCCUUUUACUUAUGCUAACAAAACCAAGAUUAAAUUUACUGUAACCCUGCAAGCAAACGCUCCAAUGGCAUUAGAAUACCUUUAUUUAAAGCAUUCCAACCUCUGGAAAAGAGACAAAACCACUCGAAAGCAACAAAAGGAAAACAGUAAGGGAGACGUGCAAGAUGAAGAAAGCAACAUGUGGUCAAUUCAGAGUGCAUGAGAGGAACUUUACUUGUACAGUUGUUACAUCCCCAUGACCCAAUGCCCUCGCAGCUCCUUCCUGUGAGUGCUCAACCCUUCCCCUGAGACCAAUGUGGCCCAGGGCACGCAGACCCCCCAGUGCCUGCCGGACGAGCAGUCGAGAACAACACUGACACCAACAAAGGUGGCUUGUGGAACUCAAGAAUCAAACAAAAGUGUAAUUUAUGAUGCACUGAUCACACUUGGGCCCAUGGGCUGCCUUCCUCUUCCUCCUGCUGCUGCAGCUCCAGCUCCAGCAGCAGCGGGAGCCCUGCGGGGCCGGACACGGCGCUGGGGCUGCGGCACACGCGGGGUCCUGGCAGCAGCUGCUUCUUCAGGUGCAUCACCCAGCCUUUAGAGUCAAGUGACUUCAUAACAACAGCACAGCAUCUCCUUCUCCUCGAAGGAACACUCCUUCCCAGAAGUGAUAAAUCAUUUAUAAACGUCAGACACUCCCCGCUGUCCCCGUGGCAGAGGCCAGGAAAUAUUGCAACCCACACCAGGUUCUGGUCAGUUCUGUAUGAUCAAUAGGAGAAUGACAUGGCAAAACCAAAAAUAGUUAUGAACAAACAACACUCACCUAAACUCUAAGUACAGGACAAGGUGCUUUUUCUAAUUUUCACAUUGUUGUGUUUGACUCCACCAGGUGAAGAACAUCAAGUUUUAUUCCUCCAUUCUUUCUCAGUUUUUCACAAUGGAACAUAGUCUUUGAGCAUGAGUUUGAGUCCACCCUCUUGUACUGUGAAAUGAUCAUUUCACACAGAAAUCACACUAGCAAGUUUGGUUUUUUGGUAACAGAAAUAAAAGACUGUCAAAAUCAAUGGGCUAAGGGACAUGAUUUGUUAUAAAUUUAUUUAAUCUUCAGUAUUUCAGCUUGCACCUUUGCUUCAGCACUUUAAAAUAAAAUGUUUCAACUAUGACAGUAACUGCCUAAUUUACAUUGAGUCCCAGUCAAUGUUCUUAAAAGAAGCUCAUAAUAAUCCCAUUAAAUCAUGUCGUGUUUGGUGUUGCAUAUGACUAGUUCCACUUUUUUUUUUUUUCCAGAAUUAACAGUGUCAAGUUCUUACAAAGCCUUGAGUUUACAACAUUUGUGUGUGCAGACCCAGGAGUACAAACUGUGACCUGAUAAUCCUGAAACAGUCAGUAGUCUAGGAGGGAAUUCUUUUUUACUUUUUUUUCCGUGCCUGAAAACAAGAAAACUUCAAAGUCUACUGUAUAUUUAAAUGGUAGGAAGAAAAAUAUACAAGCUUGUAUUUAUACUGUAUUUCUAUCAAUGGCAACAGGUCAUAAAUUCAUGUUUGCAACUAUCACAAAGACUCAUGAACACCAAUUCAUUUUUAUACUGUAAAUACUGCUGGAUUGAUGGUUUAGGAUUAUCAAUUCACUGUUGUCAUAUGUCUAUAACAGUUCAAAAGCAUCCUGGAGAAAAAUCCUGAAACACAUACCUUCCGGUAUAGAAUAAUGCAACUGCAUUAGCUAAAUAUAUACUGUACAGAAGUCUUAUCAGCAUUUUACCUACCAAAGAUGUAAGAUUCCACUUUCAAAUACAAAGCAGAUAGCCAAUAAUGUAUACUUAUAAUACAGCCCUCUUCUUUGUUUUUGUAUUUUUUUUCCUCUUUUGUUUUAAACAAUUUGGUCACAAUGCACCUUUGAUAUAAAAGCAUUUUAAACUUUAUUAUUAAUACUCAGAACAUUAGGAUUUCCAGAAUUUUUUUUUUUCAGUAGCAUUUGUAGAACCACUUUUGGUAACAAAUACAGUAGUUAGGAAUGAGCAUCCAGAUGAGAAUGCAGAAGUGUAUUAUCCAGAAUCCUUUCCAGCUACGACCAUAGGGCUGGUACUGUGAUGUGUAAUAGUACUAGAACCACAAAAACACUAGAGUAUGUUUCUUAGAGGCUACAUCCUCUUUUGCUGGAACACUUUAUAAAUACAUAUUAAAAAGUAAGGCAACAACUCCAAACUGUCCAAACUGCCAUCUCAACUCAAGUUCCAAUUAGAUCCAUGACCACUGGAGAUCAAUUUCAUGCUUGUGUUGUUCAGCAUGUGUCUUUAUUCUUUCAGAAUGGUCCAAUAAGAACAUACUGUAAUAAUUUAGCAAUUGGUGUUUCUAAACCAACUCUGGUACAUGUGUCCAGUGCUGCAUCACUAAUACUGGUUAGGUAUUGAAGUCCAGGGUGUUACCACUGCCCCUUUUUUUUUUCCAUGGAUUGUGGACACUAAUUUGGAUUUGCAAUAAAUAGGUGCACGAAUCCAAAGCUCCCUUUCCUACUAUGUUUAUCACCUACUUUUUUUUUAAUUCCUAAUGUUCAAAUUAAGGAAGCACCAGAGACAGCCUGGUACUAAAAAAAUGCUCACACCAGUAAACAAAACUUUUAUUCAGGACCGAUGUUUUUCAUGGCCCUGAUCUGAAUGGACAUUCAACUUAUGAAGAUAUGCAAAAGGAAAAGAAAGUCAAAUUACAGUAAAGUUAUCCAGAGAAGGAGGAUGUUACACAAACUCAUAAGGAAA
Molecule: long non-coding RNA, 9253 nt
Organism: Passer domesticus (house sparrow)
Lineage: Eukaryota; Metazoa; Chordata; Aves; Passeriformes; Passeridae
Exons: 2
Source: RefSeq, a predicted model, not a curated record